AGUGAACGCUGGCGGUAGGCCUAACACAUGCAAGUCGAACGGCAGCACAGUAAGAGCUUGCUCUUACGGGUGGCGAGUGGCGGACGGGUGAGGAAUACAUCGGAAUCUACUUUUUCGUGGGGGAUAACGUAGGGAAACUUACGCUAAUACCGCAUACGACCUACGGGUGAAAGCAGGGGAUCUUCGGACCUUGCGCGAUUGAAUGAGCCGAUGCCGGAUUAGCUAGUUGGCGGGGUAAAGGCCCACCAAGGCGACGAUCCGUAGCUGGUCUGAGAGGAUGAUCAGCCACACUGGAGCUGAGACACGGUCCAGACUCCUACGGGAGGCAGCAGUGGGGAAUAUUGGACAAUGGGCGCAAGCCUGAUCCAGCCAUACCGCGUGGGUGAAGAAGGCCUUCGGGUUGUAAAGCCCUUUUGUUGGGAAAGAAAAGCAGCAGGUUAAUACCCCGCUGUUCUGACGGUACCCAAAGAAUAAGCACCGGCUAACUUCGUG
RNAcentral lists this ribosomal RNA (492 nucleotides) under uncultured bacterium. RNAcentral's name for it is "partial 16S ribosomal RNA". It matches the Rfam family "Bacterial small subunit ribosomal RNA", at positions 29 to 507 of the family's 1533-position model. The record is from RNAcentral.